GCCGCGGUGGCGGAAUUGGUAGACGCGCAGGUCUCAAAAACCUGUGGUAGAUAACUACCGUGAGAGUUCGACCCUCUCCCGCGGCA
RNAcentral lists this transfer RNA (86 nucleotides) under bacterium CG1_02_42_9. RNAcentral's name for it is "tRNA-Leu". It matches the Rfam family "tRNA". From Rfam's summary of the family: Transfer RNA (tRNA) molecules are approximately 80 nucleotides in length. Their secondary structure includes four short double-helical elements and three loops (D, anti-codon, and T loops). RNAcentral also lists the same sequence under 4 other names. The record is from RNAcentral.